AGUGACGCUGGUGCAAGAGAGGACCGCAAACCCCGCCAGGACCGAAAGGUAGCAACGGUAGCGUGCCCUCCUCUGUGUCAUCGGCGUCUUUUGA
Molecule: signal recognition particle RNA, 94 nt
Filed under: bacterium
Lineage: Bacteria
Description: signal recognition particle sRNA small type
Rfam family: Bacterial small signal recognition particle RNA
About the family: The signal recognition particle (SRP) is a universally conserved ribonucleoprotein involved in the co-translational targeting of proteins to membranes.
Source: RNAcentral